UCCGUCACCCUGGUUCUGUAGUCUCGGUUCUCCGACUCCCUCUUUUUCUCGCUUGUGGACUCCGAUAUAUUGCCCUUCUUCCCUUAGAAGAACUGCUGAACCGACUCUGAGAAAUUUGAACUCCCGAAAACUGAAGACCGCCGGGUCGCAGAAGGGGAGAAGAUGGGGCAGGGGCAGAAACCCUCUUCUUUCCUGAAGUAAAGAUUCGCAAAACUUCAGACAUUUUCAUCCAGGAAGUAGGAGGCCGCAUUAAAAGAAGUAUUUGUGGAAGAUUUCGCAGCCUCAAGUGCUGAGUGUGAUAUUAUUUGUAGGCACAUAGAUGCUGUAUUAGGCUAUCGGAAUUUAUAUGGAAGAUGUGUAGAAGAUGAUAUUUUCUGAAAUAACUCGUUAAAUGUUUUGAGUCCUAAAUAAACCUGCUCAGUUUUUCGUUGGGUACACACUGUAUUCUCUAUUCAUUAAGUAU
This 463-nucleotide long non-coding RNA is filed under the name Homo sapiens (human). Its description in RNAcentral is "non-protein coding lnc-FAM177B-3:3". The record is from RNAcentral. Lineage: Eukaryota; Metazoa; Chordata; Mammalia; Primates; Hominidae.